AAGGGCCUCUGAUAAAUCUCUUCACGGACCGCUUGCUUAUAUCAAGAGGCAGAACAUUUAGAAAAGACAUAGUGCCUGCUGCUGUCUGGGCCAAGCCAUCCCACAAGCAGGCUGAAGUGUGAGAGAGGCAGAUACAUUCCCUUUCAAAAUGUCUAUGGUCCCCUGGUCCAUGAUAUAAUAGGAGAGAUGCACAGCUGGCUUAGCUUGCGCCGUCUCCCAAUGCGGACAGGCACCUGGGAGAGCCAAGAUCGUUAGCCCUCCAGGCAAACCAUUCAAGUCCUCGUGCUGUCAAGGGUUUACUCCAGCUAACACCACAGCUUUACUGUUCCUCUUCCAAUCAAUAGUGGAAUGAAAUGAUCCAGUUGGAAUUCCAGUUCAGGCCACAGAGCUGACAUCUUCUGGAUUCCCACUCCUGGGGAUUCUCAGACCCAAAGGCAAAAUGGGCCCUGGUCAUGGGAAAGUCCAUGGCUUUAGAUGGGCAGAAUCUGCAGCCACUGAGGCUGCAGCACACAGCAGGGACCAAAGCCAGGAACAGCCAAGGACACUCAAUGCCACUCCUGCCUUAUGCCAGCCCUCAGGGUGAGUGCAUAAGCUCUUCCCAUAAAAAUGGCAUUUGCACCCUUAGUAACCUUUUAUUCAAUUCAACUUCAUCUAGUCCUAG
Molecule: long non-coding RNA, 661 nt
Filed under: Homo sapiens (human)
Lineage: Eukaryota; Metazoa; Chordata; Mammalia; Primates; Hominidae
Description: HSALNT0164774
Source: RNAcentral